Molecule: long non-coding RNA, 217 nt
Filed under: Solanum tuberosum (potato)
Lineage: Eukaryota; Viridiplantae; Streptophyta; Magnoliopsida; Solanales; Solanaceae
Description: long non-coding RNA (STUB_LNC005938)
Source: RNAcentral
CUAGUUGCAGGAUGAUGCUUCAUAGGUGAAGAGGUGGUGAUCUCCGGCAGCUUCUACUCCUCUCUUUCUUAUGGUGGGAGUUGUGUCUAUUUUCAUAUUGUUUUCUUUCUUUAAACUCUUGUACCUAUUUAGACUAGCUCCUAGGGAGGUUUUCGGUCAGUUUUUAAAACUUUUAUAUUGAAACAGAUUUUGGGAUUAAUUCUGGUUAUAUUAAGGC